This 2881-nucleotide ribosomal RNA is filed under the name Burkholderia multivorans. RNAcentral describes it as "23S ribosomal RNA". It matches the Rfam family "Bacterial large subunit ribosomal RNA". Lineage: Bacteria; Pseudomonadati; Pseudomonadota; Betaproteobacteria; Burkholderiales; Burkholderiaceae. The record is from RNAcentral.
GGUCAAGCGAACAAGUGCAUGUGGUGGAUGCCUUGGCGAUCACAGGCGAUGAAGGACGCGGUAGCCUGCGAAAAGCCCCGGGGAGCUGGCAAACAAGCUUUGAUCCGGGGAUGUCCGAAUGGGGAAACCCACUCCGUAUGGAGUAUCCAUGACUGAAUACAUAGGUCAUGUGAAGCGAACGCGGUGAGCUGAAACAUCUAAGUAACCGCAGGAAAAGAAAUCAACCGAGAUUCCCAAAGUAGUGGCGAGCGAAAUGGGAUGAGCCUUGUACUCUUUAUUCGUAUUGUUAGCCGAACGCUCUGGAAAGUGCGGCCAUAGCAGGUGAUAGCCCUGUAGGCGAAAACAGUAUGAAAGAACUAGGUGUACGACAAGUAGGGCGGGACACGUGAAAUCCUGUCUGAAGAUGGGGGGACCAUCCUCCAAGGCUAAAUACUCGUGAUCGACCGAUAGUGAACCAGUACCGUGAGGGAAAGGCGAAAAGAACCCCGGGAGGGGAGUGAAAUAGAUCCUGAAACCGCAUGCAUACAAACAGUCGGAGCCUCGUAAGGGGUGACGGCGUACCUUUUGUAUAAUGGGUCAGCGACUUACGUUCAGUAGCAAGCUUAACCGUAUAGGGCAGGCGUAGCGAAAGCGAGUCCGAAUAGGGCGUUCAGUUGCUGGGCGUAGACCCGAAACCAGGUGAUCUAUCCAUGGCCAGGAUGAAGGUGCGGUAACACGUACUGGAGGUCCGAACCCACUAACGUUGAAAAGUUAGGGGAUGAGCUGUGGAUAGGGGUGAAAGGCUAAACAAACCUGGAAAUAGCUGGUUCUCUCCGAAAACUAUUUAGGUAGUGCCUCGUGUCUCACCUUCGGGGGUAGAGCACUGUCAUGGUUGGGGGGUCUAUUGCAGAUUACCCCGCCAUAGCAAACUCCGAAUACCGAAGAGUGCAAUCACGGGAGACAGACAUCGGGUGCUAACGUCCGGUGUCAAGAGGGAAACAACCCAGACCGCCAGCUAAGGUCCCCAAAUAUGGCUAAGUGGGAAACGAAGUGGGAAGGCUAAAACAGUCAGGAGGUUGGCUUAGAAGCAGCCACCCUUUAAAGAAAGCGUAAUAGCUCACUGAUCGAGUCGUCCUGCGCGGAAGAUGUAACGGGGCUAAGCCAUAUACCGAAGCUGCGGAUGCGUGCUUGCACGCAUGGUAGGAGAGCGUUCCGUAAGCCUGCGAAGGUGCCUUGUAAAGGGUGCUGGAGGUAUCGGAAGUGCGAAUGCUGACAUGAGUAGCGAUAAAGGGGGUGAAAGGCCCCCUCGCCGUAAGCCCAAGGUUUCCUACGCAACGUUCAUCGGCGUAGGGUGAGUCGGCCCCUAAGGCGAGGCAGAAAUGCGUAGCUGAUGGGAAGCAGGUCAAUAUUCCUGCACCAUUGUUAGAUGCGAUGGGGGGACGGAUCGCGGAAGGUUGUCCGGGUGUUGGACGUCCCGGUCGCUGCAUUGGAGAAGGCGCUUAGGCAAAUCCGGGCGCGGAAUUCAAGGGUGUGGCGCGAGCUCCUUAGGGAGCGAAGCAAUUGGAAGUGGUUCCAAGAAAAGCCUCUAAGCUUCAGUCUAACGAUGACCGUACCGCAAACCGACACAGGUGGGCGAGAUGAGUAUUCUAAGGCGCUUGAGAGAACUCGGGAGAAGGAACUCGGCAAAUUGGUACCGUAACUUCGGGAUAAGGUACGCCCUUGUAGCUUGACUGGCCUGCGCCAGGAGGGUGAAGGGGUUGCAAUAAACUGGUGGCUGCGACUGUUUAAUAAAAACACAGCACUCUGCAAACACGAAAGUGGACGUAUAGGGUGUGACGCCUGCCCGGUGCCGGAAGAUUAAAUGAUGGGGUGCAAGCUCUUGAUUGAAGUCCCGGUAAACGGCGGCCGUAACUAUAACGGUCCUAAGGUAGCGAAAUUCCUUGUCGGGUAAGUUCCGACCUGCACGAAUGGCGUAACGAUGGCCACACUGUCUCCUCCCGAGACUCAGCGAAGUUGAAGUGUUUGUGAUGAUGCAAUCUACCCGCGGCUAGACGGAAAGACCCCAUGAACCUUUACUGUAGCUUUGCAUUGGACUUUGAACCGAUCUGUGUAGGAUAGGUGGGAGGCUAUGAAACCGGAACGCUAGUUUCGGUGGAGCCGUCCUUGAAAUACCACCCUGGUUUGUUUGAGGUUCUAACCUUGGUCCGUGAUCCGGAUCGGGGACAGUGCAUGGUAGGCAGUUUGACUGGGGCGGUCUCCUCCCAAAGGGUAACGGAGGAGUACGAAGGUACGCUAGGUACGGUCGGAAAUCGUGCUGAUAGUGCAAUGGCAUAAGCGUGCUUAACUGCGAGACCGACAAGUCGAGCAGGUGCGAAAGCAGGUCAUAGUGAUCCGGUGGUUCUGUAUGGAAGGGCCAUCGCUCAACGGAUAAAAGGUACUCUGGGGAUAACAGGCUGAUACCGCCCAAGAGUUCAUAUCGACGGCGGUGUUUGGCACCUCGAUGUCGGCUCAUCUCAUCCUGGGGCUGUAGCCGGUCCCAAGGGUAUGGCUGUUCGCCAUUUAAAGAGGUACGUGAGCUGGGUUUAAAACGUCGUGAGACAGUUUGGUCCCUAUCUGCCGUGGGCGUUGGAUAUUUGAAGGGGGCUGCUCCUAGUACGAGAGGACCGGAGUGGACGAACCUCUGGUGUACCGGUUGUGACGCCAGUCGCAUCGCCGGGUAGCUAUGUUCGGAAGAGAUAACCGCUGAAAGCAUCUAAGCGGGAAACUCGCCUUAAGAUGAGAUAUCCCUGGAGGCUUGACCUCCUUGAAGGGUCGUUCGAGACCAGGACGUUGAUAGGUCGGGUGUGUAAGCGCAGUAAUGCGUUCAGCUAACCGAUACUAAUUGCCCGUAAGGCUUGAUCCU